GCAGCCGCGGUAAUACGGAGGGUGCAAGCGUUGUCCGGAUUUAUUGGGUUUAAAGGGUGCGUAGGCGGUACGCUAAGUCAGUGGUGAAAUCCUGGGGCUCAACCCCGGAAUUGCCAUAGAUACUGGCGUGCUUGAGUUCGACCGAGGCGGUUGGAAUGCGUGGUGUAGCGGUGAAAUGCUUAGAUAUCACGCGGAACACCGAUUGCGAAGGCAGAUCGCUAGGUCGCGACUGACGCUGAGGCACGAAAGUGCGGGGAUCAAACAGGAUUAGAUACCCUGGUAGUCCGCACCGUAAACGAUGGAUACUAGGUGUCCGGCCUUUCGGGGCUGGGUGCCCAAGGGAAACCGAUAAGUAUCCCACCUGGGGAGUACGUCCGCAAGGAUGAAACUCAAAGGAAUUGACGGGGGCCCGCACAAGCGGUGGAGCAUGUGGUUUAAUUCGAUGAUACGCGAGAAACCUUACCUGGGCUAGAAUGCCCUCGACAACCCCGGAAACGGGGCUUUCCUUCUGAACGAGGUGCAAGGUGCUGCAUGGCU
Molecule: ribosomal RNA, 537 nt
Filed under: uncultured Bacteroidota bacterium
Lineage: Bacteria; Pseudomonadati; Bacteroidota
Description: bacterial SSU rRNA
Rfam family: Bacterial small subunit ribosomal RNA
Source: RNAcentral